GUGGGGAAUCUUGCGCAAUGGGCGAAAGCCUGACGCAGCCAUGCCGCGUGAAUGAUGAAGGUCUUAGGAUUGUAAAAUUCUUUCACCGGGGACGAUAAUGACGGUACCCGGAGAAGAAGCUCCGGCUAACUUCGUGCCAGCAGCCGCGGUAAUACGAAGGGGGCUAGCGUUGCUCGGAAUUACUGGGCGUAAAGGGCGCGUAGGCGGACAGCUUAGUCAGAGGUGAAAGCCCAGGGCUCAACCUUGGAAUUGCCUUUGAUACUGGCUGUCUUGAGUUUGGGAGAGGUGAGUGGAACUCCGAGUGUAGAGGUGAAAUUCGUAGAUAUUCGGAAGAACACCAGUGGCGAAGGCGACUCACUGGCCCAAUACUGACGCUCAUGUGCGAAAGCUAGGGCAGCGAACGGGAUUAGAUACCCCGGUAGUCC
This 425-nucleotide ribosomal RNA is filed under the name uncultured bacterium. RNAcentral's name for it is "partial 16S ribosomal RNA". It matches the Rfam family "Bacterial small subunit ribosomal RNA", at positions 354 to 796 of the family's 1533-position model. The record is from RNAcentral.